Molecule: ribosomal RNA, 207 nt
Filed under: uncultured bacterium
Lineage: Bacteria
Description: partial 16S ribosomal RNA
Rfam family: Bacterial small subunit ribosomal RNA
Source: RNAcentral
CGCGUAGGCGGGCCUUCAAGUCGGAUGUGAAAACUGGUGGCUCAACUACCAGCCUGCAUUCGAUACUGUUGGUCUUGAGUACAGGAGAGGAAAGCGGAAUUCCAGGUGUAGCGGUGAAAUGCGUAGAUAUCUGGAAGAACACCAGUAGCGAAGGCGGCUUUCUGGACUGAUACUGACGCUAAAGCGCGAAGGCCAGGGGAGCAAACA